Bacillus rossius redtenbacheri is the source of this 1097-nucleotide long non-coding RNA. RefSeq lists it as uncharacterized. The record is from RefSeq and is a predicted model, not a curated record. Lineage: Eukaryota; Metazoa; Arthropoda; Insecta; Phasmatodea; Bacillidae. The transcript is spliced from 3 exons.
UGUUGAGGUUAGUGUCUGGUGACCGUAGAUAUUUUAUUUUUUGUGUGCAAUUGUCAGUGAAGAUAAUGAGUACGCCGAAAAAUAUCGCGUUCACUCAAGCAGACAAAUACAUUUUGUUUGACUUGAUAAAAAAAUAUAAGAACAUAGUUGAAAAUAAGAAAACGGACUCUGUUUCAAAUACUGAAAAGAAGGCUACGUGGAAAAUUAUAGCCUUGGAGUUUAACGCAAGUAACGUGACAACUAAAAGAGAUGAUGGCCAGCUAAAAAGGUGUUGGGAAAAGACAAAAACCACAGCAAGGAAGCAUCGUCAAACAGAAAGAAGUCAUGCUAUGGCAACAGGUGGGGGCAAAGCUUUUGUUUCCCCACCUCAGCUGGAAGAAAUGGCAACUGUGGUUUCCUCUAUCCAGCCCUAUUUUGAUUUGGAGGUGGUUUCGGCAUGGGAUAGCAACACGAUCCACCUCCAGGAUGCCAGGGCUGACUGCAGUGCCACAACUGUUUGUGCAGAAGUAGUCGCAAUGGAUGAAGUGGCAGAUGCUCCAGACACCCCACCUCUAAUUAUUGGAGCUGCUAGGCCUACUACAUCCCAGAACUUUGAUAAUCCUGAUGAAACGUUUUUGGCUCCGAAACUGCCAAUUAACAAGAAGGGCUCCUUUUCUGUAAAGUCCGCCCACAUGGUUGAGGCAGAGGUAAAGAAAAGGAUUGAGAAAAUUGAUGAAGAGAUUAGAAUGCUUAGGGAAAGUCAUGCAGCAAAACUUAAACAAGAUGCUGAGUUGCAUGCUGCGGUAAUGCGGCAAAAUGAGGAGCUACACAAGGUUAAACUUGCAAGGGAACAACUUUUGUUGCGCCAGUUGCAGGCAGAUGAACAUAAAAGUACAGAAAAUAUUUGAAGUUAAUUUAUCAACAAUGUAAUUUUGUAUUUAGAAAUUUUGUCAUUGUUAAUUUAGUUUUGUAUUUAGAAUUUGUCCAUUUACAUAAAAUAAAAAAAUGUUUAUCUUCAUUUACUUUUAAUUGCAAAACCUGUUUGUACUAAUUGCAUGAUUAAAGUUUGAAGGGGGCUUAUAAUGUUGCAGCACUUUAUAAUUUAUAACUUUUGUAUG